CUGGAGCAGUUUUGUCCUUUCCCUUUGACAC
This 31-nucleotide non-coding RNA is filed under the name Homo sapiens (human). The record is from RNAcentral. Lineage: Eukaryota; Metazoa; Chordata; Mammalia; Primates; Hominidae.